GAUGAACGCUGGCGGCGUGCCUAAUACAUGCAAGUCGAGCGAACAGACGAGGAGCUUGCUCCUCUGACGUUAGAGGCGGACGGGUGCGUCACUCGUGGAUAACCUACCUCUCCGACUGGGAUAACUUCGGCAGACAGGAGCUAAUGACGGAUAAUAUAUUGAACCGCAUGGUUCACUCGUGAAAGACGGUUUUGCUUUCAGUUAUAGAUUGAUCAGCGCCGCAUUAGCUAGUUGGUAAGGUAAAGGCUUACCAAGGCGACGAUGCGUAGCCGACCUGAGAGGGUGAUCGGCCACACGGGAUCUGAGACACGGUCCAGACUCCUACGGGAAGCAGCAGUAGGGAAUCUUCCGCAAUGGGCGAAAGCCUGACGGAGCAACGCCGCGUGAGUGAUGAAGGUCUUCGGAUCGUAAAACGCUGUAAUUAGGGAAGAACAAAUGUGUAAGUAACUAUGCACGUCUUGACGGUACCUAAUCAGAAAGCCACGGCUAACUACGUG
This 497-nucleotide ribosomal RNA is filed under the name uncultured bacterium. RNAcentral describes it as "partial 16S ribosomal RNA". It matches the Rfam family "Bacterial small subunit ribosomal RNA", at positions 28 to 507 of the family's 1533-position model. The record is from RNAcentral.